AUCAAGCUUAUCGAUACCGUCCAAGUCUUAAGAGGGCCUUAAGUCAGUAGGAGUAGACCCGAAACCGGGUGAUCUAUCCAUGUCCAGGUUGAAGCUGCCGUAAGAGGUAGUGGAGGACCGAACCCACAUCCGUUGAAAAGGGUGGGGAUGAGGUGUGGAUAGGGGAGAAAUUCCAAUCGAACCCGGAGAUAGCUGGUUCUCCUCGAAAUAGCUUUAGGGCUAGCCUCGAUACAGAUUUGCGGAGGUAGAGCACUGAAUUUCCUAGGGGGCGUCAAAGCCUACCGAAGAAUAUCAAACUCCGAAUGCCGCGUAAUCGAUUAUCGGGAGUCAGACUGCACGAGAUAAGUUGGGCGGUCAAAAGGGAAAGAGCCCAGACCUUCAGUUAAGGUCCCCAAGUGCGCGUUAAGUGGAAAAGGAUGUGGGAUUUCGAAGACAACCAGGAUGUUGGCUCAGAAGCAGCCAUCCAUUCAAAGAGUGCGUAAUAGCUCACUGGUCGAGAGGUCCUGCGCCGAAAAUGUCCGGGGCUGAAACGCGCCACCGAAACUAAGGAACCGAAAGGUUGGUAGAGGAGCAUUGCAUGCGGGAAGAAGCAGUACCGUAAGGAGCUGUGGACUGCAUGGAAGAGAGAAUGCCGGAAUGAGUAGCGAGAAUAAGGUGAGAAUCCUUAUGGCCGAAUAUCCAAGGUUUCCAGAGUAAAGCUGAUCUGCUCUGGGUAAGUCGGGGCCUAAGGCGAGGACGAGAGUCGUAGCCGAUGGACAACAGGUGGAGAUUCCUGUACUGCGGUAUGACAGAACUGUGGGGACACGUAAGGAAAGCGGAAGCCGGGAAUGGAAAGCCCGGUGCAAGCGGGGUACCAGUCACUUUGGCAAAUCCGGGUGGCAAUGGGAAGCCGUGAUGCGGAGCGAAAUAAAGUAGCGAAGUCCGUGAGCCAUGCGUCAAGAAAAGCCGCUAUCGUUUAUACCGUACCCGUACCGUAAACCGACACAGGUGGAUGAGGAGAGAAUCCUAAGGCCGGCGGAAGAAGCAUUGUCAAGGAACUCGGCAAAAUGGCCCCGUAACUUAGGGAUAAGGGGUGCCUGGGAAACCAGGCCGCAGAGAAUAGGCUCAAGCAACUGUUUAGCAAAAACACAGGUCUAUGCGAAACCGAAAGGUGAGGUAUAUGGGCUGACGCCUGCCCGGUGCUGGAAGGUUAAGAGGAGAGGUUAGCGGUAACGCGAAGCUUUGAAUUUAAGCCCCAGUAAACGGCGGCCGUAACUAUAACGGUCCUAAGGUAGCGAAAUUCCUUGUCGGGUAAGUUCCGACCCGCACGAAAGGCGUAAUGAUUUGAGCGCUGUCUCGACAAUGCAUCCGGUGAAAUUGAAGUACCAGUGAAGAUGCUGGUUACCUGCGCCAGGACGGAAAGACCCCAUGGAGCUUUACUCCAGUCUGGUACUGGGACUCGGUAUUGCAUGUACAGGAUAGGUGGGAGGCUAGGAGAUGGUAACGCCAGUUGCCAUGGAGCCGCUGUUGGGAUACCACCCUUGCAGUAUUGGGUUUCUAACCAGCCGCCGUGACCCGGCGGUGGGACAAUGCCAGACGGGGAGUUUGACUGGGGCGGUCGCCUCCGAAAGGGUAUCGGAGGCGCCCAAAGGUUCCCUCAGAAUGGACGGAAACCAUUCGAAGAGUGCAAAGGCAGAAGGGAGCUUGACUGCGACACCGACGGGUGGAGCAGGUACGAAAGUAGGGCUUAGUGAUCCGGUGGUAUUAAGUGGGAAUGCCAUCGCUCAACGGAUAAAAGCUACCCUGGGGAUAACAGGCUUAUCACUCCCAAGAGUUCACAUCGACGGAGUGGUUUGGCACCUCGAUGUCGGCUCAUCGCAUCCUGGGGCUGUAGUAGGUCCCAAGGGUUGGGCUGUUCGCCCAUUAAAGCGGUACGCGAGCUGGGUUCAGAACGUCGUGAGACAGUUCGGUCCCUAUCCGGCGUGGGCGUAGGAUAUCUGAGAGGAGCUGUCCUUAGUACGAGAGGACCGGGAUGGACGGGCCGCUGGUGCAUCGGUUAGACUGCCAAGUCUACGGCCGAGUAGCCAAGCCCGGAAGGGAUAAACGCUGAAGGCAUCUAAGCGUGAAGCCCCCCUUAAGAUGAGAUAUCCCAUUCGAAAGAAGUAAACCCCCUUGAAGACGACGAGGUAGAUAGGGCAGAGGUGGAAGUGCAGCAAUGCAUGGAGCUGACUGUUACUAAUCGGGUGAGGGCUUGACCAA
RNAcentral lists this ribosomal RNA (2238 nucleotides) under human gut metagenome. RNAcentral's name for it is "bacterial LSU rRNA". It matches the Rfam family "Bacterial large subunit ribosomal RNA", at positions 651 to 2925 of the family's 2925-position model. The record is from RNAcentral.